This 844-nucleotide ribosomal RNA is filed under the name Aureobasidium sp. RNAcentral's name for it is "partial large subunit ribosomal RNA". It matches the Rfam family "Eukaryotic large subunit ribosomal RNA", at positions 55 to 919 of the family's 3401-position model. Lineage: Eukaryota; Fungi; Ascomycota; Dothideomycetes; Dothideales; Saccotheciaceae. The record is from RNAcentral.
GGAAAAGAAACCAACAGGGAUUGCCCUAGUAACGGCGAGUGAAGCGGCAACAGCUCAAAUUUGAAAGCUGGCCUUCGGGUCCGCAUUGUAAUUUGUAGAGGAUGCUUUGGGUGAAACGCCAGUCUAAGUUCCUUGGAACAGGACGUCAUAGAGGGUGAGAAUCCCGUAUGUGACUGGAAAUGUUAACCUAUGUAAAGCUCCUUCGACGAGUCGAGUUGUUUGGGAAUGCAGCUCUAAAUGGGAGGUAAAUUUCUUCUAAAGCUAAAUAUUGGCGAGAGACCGAUAGCGCACAAGUAGAGUGAUCGAAAGAUGAAAAGCACUUUGGAAAGAGAGUUAAAAAGCACGUGAAAUUGUUGAAAGGGAAGCGCUUGCAAUCAGACUUGUUUAAACUGUUCGGCCGGUCUUCUGACCGGUUUACUCAGUUUGGACAGGCCAGCAUCAGUUUCGGCGGCCGGAUAAAGGCUCUGGGAAUGUGGCCUUCACUUCGGUGAAGGUGUUAUAGCCCAGGGUGUAAUACGGCCAGCCGGGACUGAGGUCCGCGCUUCGGCUAGGAUGCUGGCGUAAUGGUUGUAAGCGACCCGUCUUGAAACACGGACCAAGGAGUCUAACAUCUAUGCGAGUGUUCGGGUGUCAAACCCCUGCGCGUAAUGAAAGUGAACGGAGGUGGGAACCGCAAGGUGCACCAUCGACCGAUCCUGAUGUCUUCGGAUGGAUUUGAGUAAGAGCAUAGCUGUUGGGACCCGAAAGAUGGUGAACUAUGCCUGAAUAGGGUGAAGCCAGAGGAAACUCUGGUGGAGGCUCGCAGCGGUUCUGACGUGCAAAUCGAUCGUCAAAUUUGGGUAUA